RNAcentral lists this ribosomal RNA (484 nucleotides) under uncultured bacterium. Its description in RNAcentral is "partial 16S ribosomal RNA". It matches the Rfam family "Bacterial small subunit ribosomal RNA", at positions 30 to 507 of the family's 1533-position model. The record is from RNAcentral.
AUUGAACGCUGGCGGCAGGCCUAACACAUGCAAGUCGAGCGGAUGAAGGGAGCUUGCUCCUGGAUUCAGCGGCGGACGGGUGAGUAAUGCCUAGGAAUCUGCCUGGUAGUGGGGGAUAACGUCCGGAAACGGGCGCUAAUACCGCAUACGUCCUGAGGGAGAAAGUGGGGGAUCUUCGGACCUCACGCUAUCAGAUGAGCCUAGGUCGGAUUAGCUAGUGGGUGGGGUAAAGGCCUACCAAGGCGACGAUCCGUAACUGGUCUGAGAGGAUGAUCAGUCACACUGGAACUGAGACACGGUCCAGACUCCUACGGGAGGCAGCAGUCGGGAAUAUUGGACAAUGGGCGAAAGCCUGAUCCAGCCAUGCCGCGUGUGUGAAGAAGGUCUUCGGAUUGUAAAGCACUUUAAGUUGGGAGGAAGGGCAGUAAGUUAAUACCUUGCUGUUUUGACGUUACCAACAGAAUAAGCACCGGCUAACUUCGUG